AGUGGCGAACGGGUGAGUAACGCGUGGAUGAUCUACCUACGAGAUGGGGAUAACUAUUAGAAAUAGUAGCUAAUACCGAAUAAAGUCAAUUAAUUUGUUAAUUGAUGAAAGGAAGCCUUUAAAGCUUCGCUUGUAGAUGAGUCUGCGUCUUAUUAGYUAGUUGGUAGGGUAAAUGCCUACCAAGGCGAUGAUAAGUAACCGGCCUGAGAGGGUGAACGGUCACACUGGAACUGAGAUACGGUCCAGACUCCUACGGGAGGCAGCAGCUAAGAAUCUUCCGCAAUGGGCGAAAGCCUGACGGAGCGACACUGCGUGAAUGAAGAAGGUCGAAAGAUUGUAAAAUUCUUUUAUAAAUGAGGAAUAAGCUUUGUAGGAAAUGACGAAGUGAUGACGUUAAUUUAUGAAUAAGCCCCGGCUAAUUACGUGCCAGCAGCCGCGGUAAUACGUAAGGGGCGAGCGUUGUUCGGGAUUAUUGGGCGUAAAGGGUGAGUAGGCGGAUAUAUAAGUCUAUGCAUAAAAUACCACAGCUCAACUGUGGAACUAUGUUGGAAACUAUAUGUCUAGAGUCUGAUA
This 573-nucleotide ribosomal RNA is filed under the name Borreliella garinii. RNAcentral describes it as "bacterial SSU rRNA". Lineage: Bacteria; Pseudomonadati; Spirochaetota; Spirochaetia; Spirochaetales; Borreliaceae. The record is from RNAcentral.